RNAcentral lists this ribosomal RNA (1000 nucleotides) under uncultured bacterium. Its description in RNAcentral is "bacterial SSU rRNA". It matches the Rfam family "Bacterial small subunit ribosomal RNA", at positions 353 to 1371 of the family's 1533-position model. The record is from RNAcentral.
AGUGGGGAAUAUUGCACAAUGGAGGAAACUCUGAUGCAGCAUCGCCGCGUGGAGGAUGACGCAUUUCGGUGUGUAAACUCCUUUUAUAUAGGAAGAUAAUGACGGUACUAUAUGAAUAAGCACCGGCUAACUCCGUGCCAGCAGCCGCGGUAAUACGGAGGGUGCAAGCGUUACUCGGAAUCACUGGGCGUAAAGCGCAUGCAGGCGGUUUAUUAAGUUGGAAGUGAAAUCCUAUGGCUCAACCAUAGAACUGCUUCCAAAACUGAUAAACUAGAGUCUGGGAGGGGAAGAUGGAAUUAGUAGUGUAGGGGUAAAAUCCGUAGAGAUUACUAGGAAUACCAAAAGCGAAGGCGAUCUUCUGGAACAGUACUGACGCUGAGAUGCGAAAGCGUGGGGAGCAAACAGGAUUAGAUACCCUGGUAGUCCACGCAGUAAACGAUGAAUGUUAGUCGUUGGGACUCUAGUAGUUUCAGUGAUGCAGUUAACACAUUAAACAUUCCGCCUGGGGAGUACGGUCGCAAGAUUAAAACUCAAAGGAAUAGACGGGGACCCGCACAAGUGGUGGAGCAUGUGGUUUAAUUCGAAGAUACGCGAAGAACCUUACCUAGCCUUGACAUACUACAGAAUUUGACAGAGAUGUUGAAGUGCCUUCGGGAGCUGUAAUACAGGUGCUGCACGGCUGUCGUCAGCUCGUGUCGUGAGAUGUUGGGUUAAGUCCCGCAACGAGCGCAACCCUCGUCCUUAGUUACUAACGGUUCGGCCGAGGACUCUAAGGAGACUGCCUUCGUAAGGAGGAGGAAGGUGAGGACGACGUCAAGUCAUCAUGGCCCUUACGGCUAGGGCAACACACGUGCUACAAUGGUUAGGACAAUGAGAAGCGAUACCGUGAGGUGGAGCAAAUCUAUAAACCUAAUCUCAGUUCGGAUAGCAGUCUGCAACUCGACUGCUUGAAGCUGGAAUCACUAGUAAUCGUAAAUCAGCUAUGUUACGGUGAAUACGU